This 84-nucleotide transfer RNA is filed under the name Hyalella azteca. Its description in RNAcentral is "tRNA-Leu". It matches the Rfam family "tRNA". From Rfam's summary of the family: Transfer RNA (tRNA) molecules are approximately 80 nucleotides in length. Their secondary structure includes four short double-helical elements and three loops (D, anti-codon, and T loops). The record is from Rfam by way of RNAcentral. Lineage: Eukaryota; Metazoa; Arthropoda; Malacostraca; Amphipoda; Hyalellidae.
GUCAGGUUGGCCGAGUGGUCUAAGGCGUCAGAUUUAAGCUCUGAUACUCGUAAGAGUGCGUGGGUUCGAACCCCACAUCUGACA